GUUAGAAAUGUGGAGGUGCAAACUUUGUCCAGUAGAAUUUAUAACCUCUGGGAAAGACAAGAAGAAACAACAUGAACACAUAUAACUCACACAGACGGGAUUUGUGCUACUCACACUAACCAUGCAAGGUUCCCAGACAACUGUCUCAGUGGUCUCAGCACUUACUUCUCUGAUGGAGGAGCAUCAUUCUUGAACUGCUAUUCUCUGUUGUUUAAAUACGGACAUUUGUAGUACCCAGGAUUGAGCACAUAACUGCCUUGGUGGAAACUCGGAAUGAUUCUGACCUCUCUGGUUUUGCCCUAUGCGGUGGGGACUAUGCAGUAUUAUGGAAACAGUGGUGCAUUGGCAACAUUAGACUGAUGAAUUCAUUCAACAAACAUUAACAGUAUUCUAUGUGUUAUGCUUUGGAAGAUGCAAAAUAAUUGAUAUUUUCAUUGCCUUCAAGAAUCCGUAGUGUGGUAAGUAGGACUAUCUCAUAGAGAAGUGUAAUAAUAUGGUAACAUAAAAACCCAUGACUGAGAAAUGCACCACUUUAAGUGGUGUGUGUCUGCGUGCUCAUGCAUGUGUGUGGUGAAAGUUGGAAGAGGAGAGCUAAAUUUCAAACAGAAGAGAGUAACUGAUCUAUAUAUAAAUAUUUUAGUAUUUUUUGUUUACUCUUUAGAUAUGGUACAGGCAUUGAUAAAAUAUUUAUACAACAUAUUGAUCAGACAUGUGUUGAUAUUAUAUUUGUGUUUGGAAGUAAUUUUCAUAAAAAUGGGACAUGAUAAAAUUAAAAGUAAUAUAUUCAGAAUUAUUCAACAUUCUUAAUAUUUAAAACAUUCUUGAGCUAGACAUGGUAGCACACACCUGUAAUCCUAGCACUCAGGAGGCUGAGGCUGGAGAAUCGCUGUGAGUUCAAGGCCCAGCCCAUGCUACAAAGUGAGUUCAAGGCCAGCCUGGGCUAUAUAGUGAGACCCUGUCUCACAAAACAAAAACAAAAACAAAACAACCACUCUUAAUGUUUUAAGUCACCUGCUUAUGAUGAUGGCAGUGCAAUUUAGCUGGUAGGCUAAUUUCAAAGGUUAUUUUAUAGUACUAUAAAUUUUCUUGCCAGUAAUAAUUUUGUACUGACAAUUCAUUGUGCCUCAAAACAUAUCAUCUUUCCUAGUGGACGUUCUCUCACACCAGGAUUAACCUACAUUUCCUUUGAAACAUUUAGGUAAGCUAUUUCUUCUAGAAGUGCUGAAAUUCUAAUCAUCUGGCAAAACAAAAACACCAGUAUACAUGGGAACUCUGAUACAUGAUGUUAAUCCUUUGUUUUUUUCUGAUAUAUCUGGGUCAUGAUUGUGAAGGUUUUAGUAUCAUAAAAGCUCUAGGUCAACAGCUACUUGCCAAAUGAUCAGUUUGCCAAAU
This 1392-nucleotide long non-coding RNA is filed under the name Heterocephalus glaber (naked mole-rat). RNAcentral's name for it is "lncRNA (ENSHGLG00000041544.1)". The record is from RNAcentral. Lineage: Eukaryota; Metazoa; Chordata; Mammalia; Rodentia; Bathyergidae.